AGGAGUGUGGACCGGACACCGUCGGUUGUCCACCAGGGAUGAGGCUGGACUGAGACUGCUGCAGCCCCGCUGGACCACAGCCGCUUUGUCAACUGUGUGCGAUUCUCUCCUGAUGGGAACAGAUUUGCCACAGCCAGUGCUGAUGGCCAGAUAUACAUCUAUGACGGGAAGACUGGGGAGAAGGUGUGCGCGCUGGGCGGAAGCAAGGCCCACGACGGUGGGAUUUACGCAAUUAGUUGGAGUCCCGACAGCACCCAUUUGCUUUCUGCUUCUGGGGACAAAACUUCCAAGAUUUGGGACGUCAGUGUGAACUCCGUGGUCAGCACAUUUCCCAUGGGCUCCACGGUUCUGGACCAGCAGCUGGGCUGCCUAUGGCAGAAGGACCACCUGCUCAGUGUCUCCCUGUCCGGGUACAUCAACUAUCUGGACAGAAACAACCCCAGCAAGCCCCUGCGCGUCAUCAAGGGUCACAGUAAAUCGAUCCAGUGUCUGACGGUGCAUAAAAACGGCGGCAAGUCCUACAUUUACUCUGGGAGCCACGACGGACACAUUAAUAUCCUUUGACUCAAAGA
This 572-nucleotide small RNA is filed under the name Pan troglodytes (chimpanzee). Its description in RNAcentral is "processed transcript". The record is from RNAcentral. Lineage: Eukaryota; Metazoa; Chordata; Mammalia; Primates; Hominidae.